GACGAAGGUGGCAACCGUUGCUCGGAUUCACUGGGCAUAAAGCGCGCGUAGGUGGCUCGGCAGGUCACUGGUGAAAUCCCACGGCUCAACCGUGGACCCGCCAGUGAAACCGCCUUGCUUGAGGACGAGAGGGGAGAAUGGAACUCUUGGUGUAGCGGUGAAAUGCGUAGAUAUCAAGAGGAACGCCGGUGGCGAAAGCGAUUCUCUGGAUCGUUCCUGACACUGAGGCGCGAAAGCUAGGGGAGCAAACAGGAUUAGAUACCCUGGUAGUCCUAGCUGUAAACGAUGAGCACUGGGUAGAGGUGGUAGCUGAUGCCUCCUCUGCCGAAGCUAAUGUGUUAAGUGCUCCGCCUGGGGAGUAUGGUCGCAAGGCUAAA
Molecule: ribosomal RNA, 377 nt
Filed under: uncultured bacterium
Lineage: Bacteria
Description: bacterial SSU rRNA
Rfam family: Bacterial small subunit ribosomal RNA
Source: RNAcentral